Molecule: long non-coding RNA, 503 nt
Organism: Alligator mississippiensis (American alligator)
Lineage: Eukaryota; Metazoa; Chordata; Crocodylia; Alligatoridae
Exons: 3
Source: RefSeq, a predicted model, not a curated record
AAGCCAUGUACCUCAUGGAGUACUGGUAGCAUGCUAAAUAGUAUCUAUUUGCUAGCAUUCAAGGAGGUUAGGAGAAUGAGUCUGAUUGCAAUGGGAUUGCCAAACUGACCCAUUUCAGGUAACCCAGGAUGAUGGUAACAUGCAGAUGAUGUCAACAUGAGUCUUCCAGCAAGAGCACUGGCUGGGGUCUCUGGGAAUUGAACCUGCAGCCUUUAGAGGUGGAAGGAAGCUUGAGCAGCAAAGUCACAAAAUCAGCAGCUCAGCUUCUCAUAGUGUUGCCACAGGAAAAAAGACCCACUUCUUUCUAUUGUGUGGCUUUUCCAAAUAAUUGCAAAUGACUCCGCAUUCAGAACACUGUGUAAUGUAAUGCUCUGGCUGGAAGCACUUUGAGUCUCCUUUUACAUGACACAGUGCACUAGACUUCACAGGCUCUCUGAGUAGAUCAAAGCUGCUGUUUUUUGAAAAAGGUAUGUAAGCAAAGAUGAAGGUUAAGUGGGAGAUAA